AUUACGGACUUUGCCUGAAUUCACGUCACAUAAUUUAUAUCACUAUAUCAUAAACGCCUGAAACAGGAGCAGCAUUAAAAACACAAAAGACGAGAAGCUAACCAGUUUGUUUUUUUCUUACACGCUGCUAGGCAACAUGACGGCGCAGCAGUGUUUCCAUGGUUACGGAUAGACGCGUAGCUUCUCCAUAACACAAUAUUUUGUGUUAUGAAGAAAUGAUUUUUACAUUUACCCAUGUUCUCUUUCUCUUGAAUUUGUGCAGUUAUGUGACAAAAUCUUUAAUCUGUAGAUAAACAUCUGAAUAUGAAGAUAACCUUAAGAUUUAGUCACAGAGAGUCCUUAAAGAAGUCCUUAAAACAAGAGUUUGGAGAUUUAAAAGUAGACUCCAUAUCUCUUCCGUUUUGUCAACCUUAUACUUUUUUUAGAGAAGCUCAGACAUCUGAAAGAGGAAGCGAGUAAAGACACACAGCGUGACAGGGAGUUUCUGUCAGACCAAAGAAAAAGACUUUAAUCUUCUCACAACAGCUAUCAACAAAUUGCCAUCUUGUCUUUACCUCUUCUCAAUGCCACCCGAAUACCAACCUGAUUUUCAAACACUGUCUAUUUUCCUCACCAAAUCAUGCACAUCCAACUAAAACUUGGCCGCCUGUCGUCUGAAACACUCAGAGGGACAACAUGCUCAAAGACGGACCUGCAGUCUAACGACCUGAAGCCCCCGCUAGGGUCAGAGCCAAGAGCACACAAAGAGUGAUUUGUGCGAGAGGCAGCAAAGGCUGACUCAACAGUUACAGGAGAAGGAAACAGUCUACAGGGGAAAUUUCAAGCAGCUUAGAAGCGUUAAAACACCAAAACAGUGACUUGAGUCAUCUAAAAGAGGCUGGAAAUGUCCAAAAAGAGCAAGACUGAUCUUCACAAGAUGACUGUCGAUCAUCUUGGUCUCCAGAGUAUUUUCUCCUCCCUGAUUGGAGGAAGUUAUCUGAACUUUUGGACCGAGAUGGAGGCUUUGGAUGCUCUCCGAACUUACUGAGCAGCUUGCUGACCCUUCCUCCCUUCUCAAUAAACACGUUAUCAUCACA
Long non-coding RNA from Gambusia affinis (western mosquitofish), 1076 nucleotides. RefSeq lists it as uncharacterized. The transcript has 2 exons. NCBI's taxonomy places the organism in Eukaryota, Metazoa, Chordata, Actinopteri, Cyprinodontiformes, Poeciliidae. The record is from RefSeq and is a predicted model, not a curated record.